AUUGAACGCUGGCGGCAGGCCUAACACAUGCCAGUCGAGCGGAUGAAGGGAGCUUGCUCCUGGAUUCAGCGGCGGACGGGUGAGUAAUGCCUAGGAAUCUGCCUGGUAGUGGGGGAUAACGUCCGGAAACGGGCGCUAAUACCGCAUACGUCCUGAGGGAGAAAGUGGGGGAUCUUCGGACCUCACGCUAUCAGAUGAGCCUAGGUCGGAUUAGCUAGUUGGUGGGGUAAAGGCCUACCAAGGCGACGAUCCGUAACUGGUCUGAGAGGAUGAUCAGUCACACUGGAGCUGAGACACGGUCCAGACUCCUACGGGAGGCAGCAGUGGGGAAUAUUGGACAGUGGGCGAAAGCCUGAUCCAGCCAUGCCGCGUGUGUGAAGAAGGUCUUCGGAUUGUAAAGCACUUUAAGUUGGGAUGAAGGGCAGUAAGUUGAUACCUUGCUGUUUUGACGGUACCAACAGAAUAAGCACCGGCUAACUUCGUG
This 484-nucleotide ribosomal RNA is filed under the name uncultured bacterium. RNAcentral describes it as "partial 16S ribosomal RNA". It matches the Rfam family "Bacterial small subunit ribosomal RNA", at positions 30 to 507 of the family's 1533-position model. The record is from RNAcentral.